RNAcentral lists this unclassified non-coding RNA (493 nucleotides) under Hevea brasiliensis (rubber tree). The record is from RNAcentral. Lineage: Eukaryota; Viridiplantae; Streptophyta; Magnoliopsida; Malpighiales; Euphorbiaceae.
AAAUAACAGUGUCUGGGGUGGUUCUUCUUCUUCACUUUCAAGCGGAAAGGAACUUAGUCUCAUGCAUUGAUAUAUAUUCUUGUUUGGUCUUGGAGAUAAAAAAGAAAGAGAAGAGAGCGAGCUCUUGUAUAUAUUCUUGUUCUUGCUGUUGUUUUUGCUAAAUAAAACAAAAAUUACUUAUAUAAGCCACCGGCUAUGGCUACAAGAGGACUGGUUUCCUAUUUGAUAUCGGGUUUUUCUCUGGCUGUUCUCUUUGCAAUCGUCUUCACCGACCAAAAUGGUCGAAACCCAUCAAACUCCACCCUCCUCAGUUCUCUGUACGUGUCAACUACCAGAAAAAUUUGGCCAGAAUUGGAGCUUAAUUGGAGACUAGUGUUGGCUACGGUGAUAGGAUUUCUGGGAUCGGCUUGUGGAACUGUGGGUGGCGUUGGAGGAGGAGGCAUUUUCGUACCUAUGCUUACUUUGAUUGUUGGAUUUGAUACCAAGUCUGCUG